GUGUCAGCAGCCGCGGUAAGACGAACCGUGCAAACGUUGUUCGGAAUCACUGGGCUUAAAGGGCGCGUAGGCGGGCAAGCAAGUCGAAGGUGAAAUCCCACGGCUCAACCGUGGAAGUGCCCCCGAUACUGCUUGUCUUGAGGGAGAUAGGGGCGUGCGGAACUUCCGGUGGAGCGGUGAAAUGCGUAGAUAUCGGAAGGAACACCGGUGGCGAAAGCGGCGCGCUGGAUCUCUUCUGACGCUGAGGCGCGAAAGCCAGGGGAGCAAACGGGAUUAGAAACCCCAGUAGUCC
RNAcentral lists this ribosomal RNA (292 nucleotides) under uncultured bacterium. Its description in RNAcentral is "partial 16S ribosomal RNA". It matches the Rfam family "Bacterial small subunit ribosomal RNA", at positions 505 to 796 of the family's 1533-position model. The record is from RNAcentral.